AGAGGGAGAAGGUGUUGCCCCUUGCCUUCUUAGUGGCGGUACCCAAGGCCAAAAGAGAAACAAAGGGAGAAGGAGACUCACCUGAGGUGGUGGAGGCAAUAGGGCUUGCCCGAAUGGAGUGGAUUCUGACAGCAAAAGGAUGGAGAUCACGAGAUGGGGGGAAAAUAGAGCAUGAAGAGUUUUGAGAGAAAAAUAAAAAGAUUUUGGGAGUGACAACACUCAGCACAAUAACACGACGGCCGCUAGAGGUGAGGAAGAAAAUGGUGAGAUGCAGAGAUGGGU
This 282-nucleotide long non-coding RNA is filed under the name Elaeis guineensis (African oil palm). RNAcentral's name for it is "long non-coding RNA (EGUI_LNC007372)". Lineage: Eukaryota; Viridiplantae; Streptophyta; Magnoliopsida; Arecales; Arecaceae. The record is from RNAcentral.